ACGCUGGCGGCGUGCCUAAUACAUGCAAGUAGAACGCUGAAGGAGGAGCUUGCUUCUCUGGAUGAGUUGCGAACGGGUGAGUAACGCGUAGGUAACCUGCCUGGUAGCGGGGGAUAACUAUUGGAAACGAUAGCUAAUACCGCAUAACAGUAGAUGUUGCAUGACAUUUGCUUAAAAGGUGCAAUUGCAUCACUACCAGAUGGACCUGCGUUGUAUUAGCUAGUUGGUGGGGUAACGGCUCGCCAAGGCGGCGAUACAUAGCCGACCUGAGAGGGUGAUCGGCCACACUGGGACUGAGACACGGCCCAGACUCCUACGGGAGGCAGCAGUAGGGAAUCUUCGGCAAUGGACGGAAGUCUGACCGAGCAACGCCGCGUGAGUGAAGAAGGUUUUCGGAUCGUAAAGCUCUGUUGUAAGAGAAGAACAGGUGUGAGAGUGGAAAGUUCACACUGUGACGGUAUCUUACCAGAAAGGGACGGCUAACUACGUGCCAGCAGCCGCGGUAAUACGUAGGUCCCGAGCGUUGUCCGGAUUUAUUGGGCGUAAAGCGAGCGCAGGCGGUUAGAUAAGUCUGAAGUUAAAGGCUGUGGCUUAACCAUAGUACGCUUUGGAAACUGUUUAACUUGAGUGCAAGAGGGGAGAGUGGAAUUCCAUGUGUAGCGGUGAAAUGCGUAGAUAUAUGGAGGAACACCGGUGGCGAAAGCGGCUCUCUGGCUUGUAACUGACGCUGAGGCUCGAAAGCGUGGGGAGCAAACAGGAUUAGAUACCCCUGGUAGUCCACGCCGUAAACGAUGAGUGCUAGGUGUUAGACCCUUUCCGGGGUUUAGUGCCGCAGCUAACGCAUUAAGCACUCCGCCUGGGGAGUACGACCGCAAGGUUGAAACUCAAAGGAAUUGAC
This 898-nucleotide ribosomal RNA is filed under the name uncultured bacterium. RNAcentral's name for it is "bacterial SSU rRNA". It matches the Rfam family "Bacterial small subunit ribosomal RNA", at positions 33 to 914 of the family's 1533-position model. The record is from RNAcentral.